UAAAGUGCGAUAUGUAGUGCGAUUUGCAUGAAUCUGUGAGUCAUCUAAUCUUUGAACGCAACUUGCGCCUCUUUGAGGCAUGUCUGUUUGAGUGCCGCAUACCUUUUGCAGCAAUGCGAUUUGACCAAUGUCUCCUCCGCGCGGACUCGGUCUAAACGUAGCCAGAUGGUGGUUAAUGUUACUAGCCCGAGUGCUAAGCGCAUUCUUGGUUCUAGUAACAAAGGCCAUGUGUCAUCACGCCUUUUUUUAUUUGGCCUCAAAUCAGGCAAGACUACCCGCUGAACUUAA
RNAcentral lists this unclassified non-coding RNA (288 nucleotides) under uncultured fungus. Its description in RNAcentral is "sequence contains ITS1". The stretch from base 1 to 97 matches the Rfam family "5.8S ribosomal RNA", at positions 49 to 154 of the family's 154-position model. Lineage: Eukaryota; Fungi. The record is from RNAcentral.